AUUGUAACUUUUGGUUAUCUCACUCUCUCUCUGUUUUUAAAGGUUGCAUUUGGAUGAGAAAUUUUAAAUACAUUUAUUUUUAUUAAAAUUUUAGUUUUAAAUAUUGACUUACAAUAAGGGAAAUACACAGGGGGGAAAUGUUUCAAUAAAAAUUACAUUUUUUGAAUAGGUAAUUCAAAUGCAUUACCAAACCAAUCUUCAUGCACAGUUGUGAAUUUAAUCUCCAUUCAUAAUUAUAGACAACUGAAGAAAAUCCACG
Molecule: unclassified non-coding RNA, 259 nt
Filed under: Hevea brasiliensis (rubber tree)
Lineage: Eukaryota; Viridiplantae; Streptophyta; Magnoliopsida; Malpighiales; Euphorbiaceae
Source: RNAcentral